AGAAAAGGAUAAAAAAGAAAAGAAAAGAAGAAGCUAUAAAAGCCAUAGUCAUGGUGCUUCAUGUCAGUGACUAUUUUUCUACCAUUUUAAUUUUUAUUUUUCUUUCAACUUAGUCUCUCUCACCAAAUACAAACCAACUAAGUUAUUUUUUUCCUAAAUUUCUUCAUGAUUUGUGAGUGAGAUCAAUGGAGAGAAAUAAUAGUUACACUAAUUUCAUGAGAAGAGCAUUCAAGGGAGUUUUGGAGGAGAGAGAAAAUAAAGAUUAGACUUGAAUAUAAGUGUUUGAGGUUAAAAAUAGAGGAAAAAUGGAUCUUUGAAGAUUGAAGGCACCUCAUCUCAUCACAUCAGUGGAUCUAAGAGAGUAUUAAUUUUUUAUUUCAGUAAAUGGCAUGUACCUAGGUGUGUGUAUUAAGGUUGAAUGUGAUGGGACUUAAAUGUGAUACUCGAUGUUUGCUUAAUUUAUAUGAAAUAAUUUAAAUGUUAAUUAAGUGAUAUAAGAAAAUUAAA
Molecule: long non-coding RNA, 507 nt
Organism: Gossypium arboreum
Lineage: Eukaryota; Viridiplantae; Streptophyta; Magnoliopsida; Malvales; Malvaceae
Exons: 2
Source: RefSeq, a predicted model, not a curated record